This 467-nucleotide ribosomal RNA is filed under the name uncultured bacterium. Its description in RNAcentral is "partial 16S ribosomal RNA". It matches the Rfam family "Bacterial small subunit ribosomal RNA", at positions 28 to 506 of the family's 1533-position model. The record is from RNAcentral.
GACGAACGCUGGCGGCGUGCUUAACACAUGCAAGUCGAACGGAAAGGCCCUGCUUUUGUGGGGUGCUCGAGUGGCGAACGGGUGAGUAACACGUGAGUAACCUGCCCUUGACUUUGGGAUAACUUCAGGAAACUGGGGCUAAUACCGGAUAGGAGCUCCUGCUGCAUGGUGGGGGUUGGAAAGUUUCGGCGGUUGGGGAUGGACUCGCGGCUUAUCAGCUUGUUGGUGGGGUAGUGGCUUACCAAGGCUUUGACGGGUAGCCGGCCUGAGAGGGUGACCGGCCACAUUGGGACUGAGAUACGGCCCAGACUCCCACGGGAGGCAGCAGUGGGGAAUAGUGCACAAUGGGCGGAAGCCUGAUGCAGCAACGCCGCGUGCGGGAUGACGGCCUUCGGGUGGUAAACCGCUUUCGCCUGUGACGAAGCGUGAGUGACGGUAAUGGGUAAAGAAGCACCGGCUAACUACGU